GGACCCGCACAAGCGGUGGAGCAUGUGGUUUAAUUCGAAGCAACGCGAAGAACCUUACCAAAUCUUGACAUCCUUUGAAAACUCUAGAGAUAGAGCCUUCCCCUUCGGGGGACAAAGUGACAGGUGGUGCAUGGUUGUCGUCAGCUCGUGUCGUGAGAUGUUGGGUUAAGUCCCGCAACGAGCGCAACCCUUAAACUUAGUUGCCAGCAUUUAGUUGGGCACUCUAGGUUGACUGCCGGUGACAAACCGGAGGAAGGUGGGG
RNAcentral lists this ribosomal RNA (262 nucleotides) under uncultured prokaryote. RNAcentral describes it as "partial 16S ribosomal RNA". It matches the Rfam family "Bacterial small subunit ribosomal RNA", at positions 917 to 1178 of the family's 1533-position model. The record is from RNAcentral.